This 19-nucleotide small nuclear RNA is filed under the name Arabidopsis thaliana (thale cress). RNAcentral describes it as "snRNA_06561". The record is from RNAcentral. Lineage: Eukaryota; Viridiplantae; Streptophyta; Magnoliopsida; Brassicales; Brassicaceae.
GAGUGGCCUUGCUGCCACG